This 63-nucleotide ribosomal RNA is filed under the name Babesia sp. Coco. Its description in RNAcentral is "partial 18S ribosomal RNA". It matches the Rfam family "Eukaryotic small subunit ribosomal RNA", at positions 1769 to 1831 of the family's 1831-position model. The record is from RNAcentral. Lineage: Eukaryota; Apicomplexa; Aconoidasida; Piroplasmida; Babesiidae.
GCUGGAAUCGCCCUGAGAAGUCGUAACAAGGUUUCCGUAGGUGAACCUGCGGAAGGAUCAUUC